RNAcentral lists this ribosomal RNA (494 nucleotides) under uncultured bacterium. Its description in RNAcentral is "partial 16S ribosomal RNA". It matches the Rfam family "Bacterial small subunit ribosomal RNA", at positions 28 to 507 of the family's 1533-position model. The record is from RNAcentral.
GACGAACGCUGGCGGCGUGCUUAACACAUGCAAGUCGAACGGAAAGGCCUGCUUUCCCUUGUGGAUUGCGGGUACUCGAGUGGCGAACGGGUGAGUAACACGUGAGUGAUCUGCCCCCAACUUGGGUAUAAGCCUGGGAAACUGGGUCUAAUUCCCGAUAGGACUGCAGGGUGGUGCCUGUGGUGGAAAACGAUUUUCUAGUGGUUGGGGAUGAGCUCGCGGCCUAUCAGCUUGUUGGUGGGGUAAUGGCCUACAAAGGCGGCGACGGGUAGCCGGCCGGAGAGGGUGGACGGUCACAUUGGGACUGAGACACGGCCCAGACUCCUACGGGAGGCAGCAGUGGGGAAUAUUGCACAAUGGGCGGAAGCCUGAUGCAGCGACGCCGCGUGGGGGAUGACGGCCUUCGGGUUGUAAACUCCUUUCGACCGCGAGGAAGCCACCUGGUUGGAAGGGUGGUGACGGUAGUGGUAGAAGAAGCACCGGCUAACUACGUG